UACAUAGGUCUCAAGCGUUGUUCGGAUUCAUUGGGCGUAAAGGGUGUGUAGGUGGCGCCGUAAGUCGGGUGUGAAAUUUCGGAGCUUAACUCCGAAACUGCAUUCGAUACUGCGGUGCUUGAGGACUGGAGAGGAGACUGGAAUUCAUGGUGUAGCAGUGAAAUGCGUAGAGAUCAUGAGGAAGACCAGUGGCGAAGGCGGGUUGCUGGGCUGAUACUGACGCUGAGGCGCGAAAGCUAGGGGAGCGAACGGG
Molecule: ribosomal RNA, 253 nt
Filed under: uncultured bacterium
Lineage: Bacteria
Description: partial 16S ribosomal RNA
Rfam family: Bacterial small subunit ribosomal RNA
Source: RNAcentral